AUUGAACGCUGGCGGCAGGCCUAACACAUGCAAGUCGAGCGGAUGAAGGGAGCUUGCUCCUGGAUUCAGCGGCGGACGGGUGAGUAAUGCCUAGGAAUCUGCCUGGUAGUGGGGGAUAACGUCCGGAAACGGGCGCUAAUACCGCAUACGUCCUGAGGGAGAAAGUGGGGGAUCUUCGGACCUCACGCUAUCAGAUGAGCCUAGGUCGCAUUAGCUAGUUGGUGGGGUAAAGGCCUACCAAGGCGACGAUCCGUAACUGGUCUGAGAGGAUGAUCAGUCACACUGGAACUGAGACACAGUCCAGACUCCUACGGGAGGCAGCAGUGGGGAAUAUUGGACGAUGGGCGAGAGCCUGAUCCAGCCAUGCCGCGUGUGUGAAGAAGGUCUUCGGAUUGUAAAGCACUUUAAGUUGGGAGGAAGGGCAGUAAGUUAAUACCUUACUGUUUUGACGUUACCAACAGAAUAAGCACCGGCUAACUUCGUG
Molecule: ribosomal RNA, 484 nt
Filed under: uncultured bacterium
Lineage: Bacteria
Description: partial 16S ribosomal RNA
Rfam family: Bacterial small subunit ribosomal RNA
Source: RNAcentral